UUUAGAAGAAAACAGUUUGCGCUCCAUAUUUGAUAUGCCGCGUGUACUCGAUUUAUUAUUAUUACAAAUGGACGACGGCUAUGUUAGAUGCAUCGGAGUUGGGCAGAAAAUAUCCUAUUGUGCGUUUCUAUUUUAGUAUUUGGAGUGUUCAGAGGAAAUAGUUGAGUCUAAAGUGUUAAAAAGUGGAUUUCACACAAGAAAAUUUUGGUGAGACUAUAAAGUGAAUAAGAAACAUGAGAAGAACAUAAUUAAUUGUACAAAAUGUUCAUGUACAUUUAUUACAACAGUGAAAUGUUUCAUUAUAAUACAACGCACAUUACAUAAACAAAGAACUACAAAACAUACAAAGACAACUGCAAUAGCACUCAUUGCACCAAAGAACCAAAAUGUAGGACCAGUGCCCAUAGCGCUGUUU
Megachile rotundata (alfalfa leafcutting bee) is the source of this 415-nucleotide long non-coding RNA. The record is from RefSeq and is a predicted model, not a curated record. NCBI's taxonomy places the organism in Eukaryota, Metazoa, Arthropoda, Insecta, Hymenoptera, Megachilidae.